This 244-nucleotide ribosomal RNA is filed under the name uncultured bacterium. RNAcentral's name for it is "partial 16S ribosomal RNA". It matches the Rfam family "Bacterial small subunit ribosomal RNA", at positions 524 to 767 of the family's 1533-position model. The record is from RNAcentral.
UACGUAGGGGGCAAGCGUUGUUCGGAAUUACUGGGCGUAAAGGGCGCGUAGGCGGCCUGCUAAGUCGAACGUGAAAUCCCCGGGCUCAACCCGGGAACUGCGUCUGAUACUAGUUGGCUGGAAUCCGGGAGAGGGAUGUGGAAUUCCAGGUGUAGCGGUGAAAUGCGUAGAUAUCUGGAGGAACACCAAUGGCGAAGGCAGCUCACUGGGACGGUACUGACGCUGAGACGCGAAAGCGUGGGGA